AUUCAUCUCUUUCUGUCUUCCUAGUGGUGCCAUCGAUGAGCUCUUGAAUAACUUUCUGCAGUGUAAUUCAGAACUCCCCAUUACUUAUUCCUUCUGAUGCUAACAUGCUAAAAAUUCUGUCUCUGAUUUAACCACAAAUAUGUGUUUGGAUGGACAUAAAAGUUGGUCAAAAUAACUUUUAAAUUAUUAUACACUUUUUGAAGUAUUUGGCAACUUCAAUAAUUGCUUUAAAAAAAGUUAAAAAGUACUUUUUUUUAAGUAAAAAGUAUCUUAACUCCUACUUUUUUAUUUUUGGUUUAUACGUCAUUCUAGUUUGACCAAGUAAAAAACAUCCCUGUCACUGUAAUUCUCACGUAUUUCAAAAUUACCUUGAUGAUUGUCCUAAAAUAUUUGUUCUCUUCUUACCAUUUUUAUGUUUUUUCUUUAUUUUUGUGUUUCUCUCUCCAGGUUUGUAUUUUUCUCUUCAUUUCUUUAUUCAGUUCGUAGGUGUGAGAGACUAACUUUGGAUGACUUCAAGAGGGGUAGAGAUAGGCCGGAGAAAUACUAGAGGGAAGUGAUUAGACAUGACAUGAAGCAGCUUCAGUUUAUUGAAGACAUGACUCUAGAUAGAAAGGUGUGGAGGGCGCAAAUAAGGGUAGAAGGCUAGUGUGAGUGUGUGGGUUGUAGCAAGCAGUCAGGAGAGAUCUUGUGUAGGUAAUCCUAGGACUGUGCAUAUAGGUGUCUUUGGUACGUGAGUGUAUGUUACAACUAGGUGGGUGUCGUAUCUCUUAUUUCUUAGCUCCUAUUUUCUUACUUCAUGUUACCCUUAUUUCUCAUAUUGCGUAUUCCUCCGAUUUCUAUUUUAUUAUUUUUUAUUCCUUAUUUAUGUUAUGUCAUCCAUCCUCGAUUUCUAUUUUAUUAUUUCUUAUUCCUUAUUUAUGUUAUGUCAUCCAUCCCCUUAUUUACUAUUCUUUAUCUUGACCCGGGGGCCUAUCGAAAACGGCCUCUCUACAGCGGUAUGGACUGUGUACAUCUUACCCUCCCUAUACCCCACUUUGUGGGAACACACUAGGUUUGUUGUUGUUGUUGUUGUAUUUCUUUUUUUAAUGGGUCGCGAGCAAUUUGAUGCUUGUGAGGUUUAACAGAAAUUGAGAAGAAUUAAUUUUUUUUGGUAGUUCAUUUGACUGAACAACAAAUAUUUUAAUGGGUUGUUAGCAAUUUGGCUUCUUUUUAGGCGACUUUUGUUCAAUUUCCUUGA
Molecule: long non-coding RNA, 1237 nt
Filed under: Capsicum annuum
Lineage: Eukaryota; Viridiplantae; Streptophyta; Magnoliopsida; Solanales; Solanaceae
Description: long non-coding RNA (CANN_LNC005472)
Source: RNAcentral